ACGACCAUACCCAUUGGAAAACUCGGGAUCCCGUCCGCUCUCCCAUAGAUAAGCCAGUGAGGGCCAGAUUAGUAGUUGGGUCGGUGACGACCAGCGAAUCCCUGGUGUUGUAUGUU
Molecule: ribosomal RNA, 116 nt
Filed under: Xylariales sp. No.14919
Lineage: Eukaryota; Fungi; Ascomycota; Sordariomycetes; Xylariales
Source: RNAcentral